GCGGCCUCGGUGCGCGGCAGCGGCAUCGCCUCGCCGCUGGCGGCGCCGCCGCUGAAGGUGGCGGUGGCGGGGUAGAAGACCCCGUCGCCGCGC
Molecule: transfer RNA, 93 nt
Filed under: Pseudoduganella dura
Lineage: Bacteria; Pseudomonadati; Pseudomonadota; Betaproteobacteria; Burkholderiales; Oxalobacteraceae
Description: tRNA-Ser
Source: RNAcentral